This 253-nucleotide ribosomal RNA is filed under the name uncultured bacterium. RNAcentral describes it as "partial 16S ribosomal RNA". It matches the Rfam family "Bacterial small subunit ribosomal RNA", at positions 524 to 776 of the family's 1533-position model. The record is from RNAcentral.
GACGGAGGAGGCAAGCGUUAUCCGGAAUUAUUGGGCGUAAAGCGUCCGUAGGUGGUUAUUCAAGUCUUUUGUUAAAUAGUGGAGCUCAACUCCAUAGAGGCGGAAGAAACUGAGUAACUUGAGUGCGGUAGGGGUAGAGGGAAUUCCAGGUGUAGCGGUGAAAUGCGUAGAUAUCUGGAAGAACACCAGUGGCGACGGCGCUCUACUGGGCCGUAACUGACACUGAGGGACGAAAGCUAGGGGAGCGAAAGGG